Long non-coding RNA from Lutra lutra (Eurasian river otter), 490 nucleotides. RefSeq lists it as uncharacterized. The record is from RefSeq and is a predicted model, not a curated record. The transcript has 3 exons. NCBI's taxonomy places the organism in Eukaryota, Metazoa, Chordata, Mammalia, Carnivora, Mustelidae.
AAGAGCAGAGCAGACAUCUCAGCACCACGGCUUUUGCAGCGGCGCUGAAGAAUGCUGGUAGUGAUGUGUUUUCACAGCUCAUCUUGCAAGACUCCCAUGCAGUUUCCUGGAGAAGAUGGACUCCUGCCCUCCAGAAUUUUUUUUUUACAUGUGCUCAUGGAUAAGCAAAAGAAAUUCCUUCCUUCAUUCACUGUGACCUCCAGCCGCUUCCCAAGCUUUCACACAUCAGCCCAGUGACUGUUGGAGGAAGUCGCAGGCCUCAAAAGAGUGCACACAAGGAACAAAGGGUUGAACACUUGCCACAGAAAUAACAAACGUUUGACUCCCGCGCCAGCACUCUCUGCUCUCCUGUUUAUGGCAGACGUCACUAAUCAACCAUGGCAAUCUUUCCUGCUGGACCCGAGUAAGACCUCAGAACAGUCUGCAACAUAAUACCCCUGGAAGCUUCUAGCAGUAUGUAAGAAAUGGCCCGGAUUUGAAUCCUAUUAGC